This 28-nucleotide small RNA is filed under the name Bombyx mori (domestic silkworm). Its description in RNAcentral is "ovarian small RNA-3578". Lineage: Eukaryota; Metazoa; Arthropoda; Insecta; Lepidoptera; Bombycidae. The record is from RNAcentral.
UGACAAGUGCAACAUGAGUGCCAUCUAU